GUUAUAUGGUCAAGCGAAUAAGCGCACACGGUGGAUGCCUAGGCGGUCAGAGGCGAUGAAGGACGUGGUAGCCUGCGAAAAGUGUCGGGGAGCUGGCAACAAGCUUUGAUCCGGCAAUAUCCGAAUGGGGAAACCCACUGCUUCGGCAGUAUCCUGCAGUGAAUUCAUAGCUGCUGGAAGCGAACCCGGUGAACUGAAAUAUCUAAGUAACCGGAGGAAAAGAAAUCAACCGAGAUUCCCUAAGUAGUGACGAGCGAACGGGGAACAGCCCUUAAGCUGGAAUGGCUUUAGAAAAACAAUCUGGAAAGAUUGGCCAUAGAAGGUGAUAGCCCUGUAUUUAAAAGGGCCACUCCAGUGAAGACGAGUAGGGCGGGGCACGUGAAACCCUGUCUGAAUAUGGGGGGACCAUCCUCCAAGGCUAAAUACUCCUGACCGACCGAUAGUGAACCAGUACCGUGAGGGAAAGGCGAAAAGAACCCCGGAGAGGGGAGUGAAAUAGAUCCUGAAACCGUGUGCGUACAAGCAGUAGGAGCUCGCAAGAGUGACUGCGUACCUUUUGUAUAAUGGGUCAGCGACUUACUGUUCGUGGCAAGCUUAACCGUAUAGGGGAGGCGAAGGGAAACCGAGUCUGAUAAGGGCGCAUAGUCGCGGGCAGUAGACCCGAAACCGGGUGAUCUAGUCAUGGCCAGGGUGAAGGUGCCGUAACAGGUACUGGAGGCCCGAACCCACGUCUGUUGCAAAAGACGGGGAUGAGCUGUGAUUAGGAGUGAAAAGCUAAUCGAACCCGGAGAUAGCUGGUUCUCCUCGAAAGCUAUUUAGGUAGCGCCUCGGACGAAUACUACUGGGGGUAGAGCACUGUUAUGGCUAGGGGGUCAUCGCGACUUACCAAACCAUUGCAAACUCCGAAUACCAGUACGUACUAUCCGGGAGACACACGGCGGGUGCUAACGUCCGUCGUGAAAAGGGAAACAACCCAGACCCACAGCUAAGGUCCCAAAUUCACUGCUAAGUGGAAAACGAUGUGGAAAGGCACAGACAGCCAGGAGGUUGGCUUAGAAGCAGCCACCCUUUAAAGAAAGCGUAAUAGCUCACUGGUCGAGUCGGUCUGCGCGGAAGAUUUAACGGGGCUAAGCAGUGAACCGAAGCUUGGGGUGCAUAAAACUUGUUUUAUGCGCGGUAGAGGAGCGUUCCGUAAGCCUGCGAAGGUGGAUUGAGAAGUCCGCUGGAGGUAUCGGAAGUGCGAAUGCUGACAUGAGUAACGAUAAUGCGGGUGAAAAGCCCGCACGCCGAAAGCCCAAGGUUUCCUUGCGCAACGUUAAUCGACGCAGGGUUAGUCGGUCCCUAAGGCGAGGGCGAAAGCCGUAGUCGAUGGGAAGCAGGUUAAUAUUCCUGCACCUCGCGUGAGUGCGAUGGAGGGACGGAGAAGGUUAGGUGUACCGGGCGUUGGUUGUCCCGGGGAAAGGCGGUAGGUUUGGAUCUUUGGCAAAUCCGGGAUCCUUUAAGACCGAGCACCGAGACGAGCCUUUAUGGCGAAGUCACUGAUACCACGCUUCCAGGAAAAGCUCCUAAGCUUCAGCUCACGAAGACCGUACCGUAAACCGACACAGGUGGGUAGGAUGAGAAUUCUCAGGCGCUUGAGAGAACUCGGGUGAAGGAACUAGGCAACAUGGCACCGUAACUUCGGGAGAAGGUGCACCCUUUUUGGUGGCUCAUGCGAGCUAUAGCUGAAGAGGGUCGCAGAAACCAGGCCGCUGCGACUGUUUAUCAAAAACACAGCACUCUGCAAACACGAAAGUGGACGUAUAGGGUGUGACGCCUGCCCGGUGCUGGAAGGUUAAUUGAUGGGGUCAGCCGCAAGGCGAAGCUCUUGAUCGAAGCCCCAGUAAACGGCGGCCGUAACUAUAACGGUCCUAAGGUAGCGAAAUUCCUUGUCGGGUAAGUUCCGACCUGCACGAAUGGCGUAACGACAGCGGCGCUGUCUCCACCCGAGACUCAGUGAAAUUGAAAUCGCUGUGAAGAUGCAGCGUUCCCGUGGCAAGACGGAAAGACCCCGUGAACCUUUACUAUAGCUUUACACUGAACGUUGAGUUCGUCUGUGUAGGAUAGGUGGGAGGCUAUGAAACUGUGGCGCUAGCUGCAGUGGAGCCAUCCUUGAAAUACCACCCUGUCGUGCUUGACGUUCUAACCUAGAUCCGUUAUCCGGAUCAGGGACCGUGUAUGGUGGGUAGUUUGACUGGGGCGGUCUCCUCCUAAAGAGUAACGGAGGAGCACGAAGGUACGCUCAGCGCGGUCGGACAUCGCGCACUGUGUGCAAAGGCAUAAGCGUGCUUGACUGCAAGAUCGACGGAUCAAGCAGGUACGAAAGUAGGUCUUAGUGAUCCGGUGGUUCUGUAUGGAAGGGCCAUCGCUCAACGGAUAAAAGGUACUCCGGGGAUAACAGGCUGAUACCGCCCAAGAGUUCAUAUCGACGGCGGUGUUUGGCACCUCGAUGUCGGCUCAUCACAUCCUGGGGCUGUAGUCGGUCCCAAGGGUAUGGCUGUUCGCCAUUUAAAGUGGUACGCGAGCUGGGUUCAGAACGUCGUGAGACAGUUCGGUCCCUAUCUGCCAUGGGCGUUGGAAGUUUGAGAGGGGCUGCUCCUAGUACGAGAGGACCGGAGUGGACGAACCUCUGGUGUUCCGGUUGUCACGCCAGUGGCAUUGCCGGGUAGCUAUGUUCGGAAGCGAUAACCGCUGAAAGCAUCUAAGCGGGAAGCGCGCCUCAAGAUGAGACUUCCCGGGGCACAAGCCCCCUAAAGGAACCAUAUAGACUAUGUGGUUGAUAGGUCAGGUGUGUAAGUACAGCAAUGUAUUGAGCUAACUGAUACUAAUGAUCCGUGCGGCUUGACCAUAUAACCU
Molecule: ribosomal RNA, 2895 nt
Filed under: Xanthomonas vesicatoria
Lineage: Bacteria; Pseudomonadati; Pseudomonadota; Gammaproteobacteria; Lysobacterales; Lysobacteraceae
Also listed under: 1 other name
Description: bacterial LSU rRNA
Rfam family: Bacterial large subunit ribosomal RNA
Source: RNAcentral